CCCUUAGAUGUUCUGGGCCGCACGCGCGCUACACUGAUGCAUUCAACGAGUCUAAAACCUGCUCUGAUAGGAGUGGGUAAUCUUUUGAAUGUGCAUCGUGAUUGGGAUAGAUGAUUGCAAUUUUUCAUCUUCAACGAGGAAUGCCUAGUAAACGCAAGUCAUCAGCUUGCAUUGAUUACGUCCCUGCCCUUUGUACACACCGCCCGUCGCUCCUACCGAUUGAAUGAUCCGAUGAAUAUCAUGGAUUGAGGAUGCAAGUAGGUUCGCCUAUCUUCAUCUUCGAGAAGUGAAGUAAAUCUUAUCAUUUAGAGGAAGGAGAAGUCGUAACA
This 329-nucleotide ribosomal RNA is filed under the name uncultured eukaryote. RNAcentral describes it as "partial 18S ribosomal RNA". It matches the Rfam family "Eukaryotic small subunit ribosomal RNA", at positions 1470 to 1796 of the family's 1831-position model. The record is from RNAcentral.